AGGUCUUGCCUGCCCCGUGAUUUAUUUUAACGGCCGCGGUAUCUUAACCGUGCAAAGGUAGCAUAAUCAAUUGUCUCUUAAAUUGGGACUAGUAUGAACGGCACCACGAGGGUUUAACUGUCUCCCCCUUUUAAUCAAUGAAAUUAAUCUUCCCGUGAAGAACCGGGAAUACAGCUAUAAGACGAGAAGACCCCGUGGAGCUUUAAACUUAUUAUCACUUAUUUACUAAUAUAACAUGCUACAAGAUAAAAAUGUCUCAAAUAGUUUUUGGUUGGGGCGACCCUGGAGAAAAGUAAAUCCUCCAAAUCGAAAGGGUUAACUACCCUUAUAUAAGAGCCACAAUUCAAAUAACCAAAAAUUUGACAAAACUGACCCAGAAUUAACUGAUCAGUGAACCAAGUUACCCCGGGGAUAACAGCGCAAUCCAUUUCAAGAGCCCAUAUCGACAAAUGGGUUUACGACCUCGAUGUUGGAUCAGGGGAUCCUAGCAGCGCAGCAGUUGCUAAUGGUUCGUUUGUUCAACGAUUAAUGACCCUACGUGAUCUGAGU
This 549-nucleotide ribosomal RNA is filed under the name Hyperolius lateralis (Munsenene reed frog). Its description in RNAcentral is "partial 16S ribosomal RNA". It matches the Rfam family "Bacterial large subunit ribosomal RNA", at positions 1850 to 2610 of the family's 2925-position model. Lineage: Eukaryota; Metazoa; Chordata; Amphibia; Anura; Hyperoliidae. The record is from RNAcentral.